UGCCCCGUGGCUAAGUUGGUUACAGCGUCCGACUGUUAUCAAGUGAUGCAGAUCACCUGACGGCUAUCGGAAGGUCAUGAGUUCGAGCCUCAUCGGGGCAG
This 101-nucleotide transfer RNA is filed under the name Ganoderma leucocontextum. RNAcentral describes it as "tRNA-Asn". The record is from RNAcentral. Lineage: Eukaryota; Fungi; Basidiomycota; Agaricomycetes; Polyporales; Polyporaceae.